GUGUUGUAUGAAAGGAGAGAAGGUUAGCACUCCUUGACAAGGGAUGGAAAGGCCUCGGGCUGACACUUACCUUACGAUUGACAUUUGCCACCUACUUCGUGGCAUCUAACCAUCGUUUUUG
This is a non-coding RNA of Chlorocebus sabaeus (green monkey), 121 nucleotides long. The record is from RefSeq and is a predicted model, not a curated record. NCBI's taxonomy places the organism in Eukaryota, Metazoa, Chordata, Mammalia, Primates, Cercopithecidae.